AACCUAGCACACCUGCGGUGUGUACCUGCGGAAGGAUCAUUACUGAGUGAGGGCCUUCGGGCUCGACCUCCAACCCUUUGUGAACACAACUUGUUGCUUCGGGGGCGACCCUGCCGUUUCGACGGCGAGCGCCCCCGGAGGCCUUCAAACACUGCAUCUUUGCGUCGGAGUUUAAGUAAAUUAAACAAAACUUUCAACAAUGGAUCU
RNAcentral lists this unclassified non-coding RNA (207 nucleotides) under soil metagenome. RNAcentral describes it as "partial contains 5.8S ribosomal RNA, internal transcribed spacer 2, and large subunit ribosomal RNA". The record is from RNAcentral.